This is a long non-coding RNA of Thunnus maccoyii (southern bluefin tuna), 4157 nucleotides long. RefSeq lists it as uncharacterized. Lineage: Eukaryota; Metazoa; Chordata; Actinopteri; Scombriformes; Scombridae. The transcript is spliced from 5 exons. The record is from RefSeq and is a predicted model, not a curated record.
GCCCACCAUACAAAUCUCAGAUAGGCCCUCCAUAAGGCCCAAGUAGUGAGGCCACUUGUGGCCACUCCUGCUGGGGCCAGCCUGCCUGCAGUCUCAUACGCCCAUUGGAUUGACUCCACAAACCAAUGAGAGAACCUGGUCUUGAAGAGUGGUUGCCCAAGGCAGUUAGGUUUGUAACAGACAGAGAGCUGGUCUGUUGUCCUGUGGGCACGUGUCUGAUGAAGAUUCACCAUCAAGGCCCUGACAGGGCACAACAGUGACUGCCCACUGACCCCUGCUUCACUCUCCUGAGGAGGGCAGAAAGGGUGCAGCUCAACAGACUGACUGGCAUGGGACUCAGACUAGACCUUAGGGUGGAAUGCAGGGUUUAGGUUUAACACCACCCCAACAUCACCCAGCAUUCCUCAUGCAUUGAAAGGGCAUGGAGCUCACCCAUUCUUUUAGCUGACACAAUUGCCAACAAGAACGCUGAUUUGAGAGAAACCAAUUUCAGCCCAACUGUUUCCAUGAUCAAGUGGCUCAUGCUGUAAGGUUGACAGUACCACCUCCAAAUCCCAUGGGAGGACAGCUGGCCUUCUGUGAUAGAGAGUAACCCUACGAGCACCUUUAAGAAGCUGAGCAAUAAUGUCGCAACAACCCGCUGCCAUUUUCUGAGGUCCAACAUGGGCUACCUUUAUGGCUGCCACCAUUCCCCUCAAAGUUUAGGUAGCCUUGCCCACCUCCAGCAUUUCCUGGAGGAACUGGAGGACAUCGGGGGCCAUGCAGGAGAGGGGAUCCACCUGUCCAGAGUUGCACCAUGAUUGAAACACUCCCCAACAAUAGAAAUAUGCAGCCCUGGUUGAUGGAGGCAGGGCCCCUUGCAUAGACUGGGGCAACCCCAUGGCUAGAAAUUUGGCCCUCUCAGGGGCCAGGCCCAAAGCCCGAGUCCCAGGGGAAAAAUAUGAAAAAGAGUCCCAUAGGCCUGGGAAAGGAGGUCCCACUGAACAGGGAGCUUCCAGGGGUGUCCUCGAAGAAGGGGUGCAAUCACUGAGAACAAGAUCAUUGGGGGCCACCAGGAUGAGUGUCACCUCUUCCACCUGGACUCUCUGUAGGAGUGGGUGCAAGAGGAUCAAGGGGAGGAAUGCCCUCCCUCCCCUUGAGGGAAGGCAUCUGAAGGCAUCAUUGUAGCCACUGAUGUGCAAUUGCAUCCAUGCCCAAGGGAGGAUCAUAUCUCCCUAUGGAGAAAAACAGGGGGCAUUGAACUCUGGAUGCAGCCUCCAUUUGCUGCAGAGGGGUCCUCCCCUGGAGAGCUGAUCCACUGAAAGGAUCGCGUGACCCGGCACUUGCAUUACUCUCAGGAACUUGAACCAUGGAUGUGCCCGCUCCCAUAUUAUCUGAGCUAAUCUACAAAGAUGAGGGGAGCCCAGGCCCCCUUGGCUGUUGAUAUAUGCCACUGCCAUUGUACUGUCUGUUCUCACCAGCACAUGGUGGUUCCUCAGCUCUGGCAGGAAGCGCAGAAGAGCUAGAUAGAUAGCCUGCAAUUCCAGAAGAUCGAUGUGCUAUGCUAACCAGGGUCUGUGCCACUGGCCGCUGAUGCCUUUGCCCUUGUGGACGGCUCCCCAGCCUACCAGGGAGGUAUCAGAUGACACCACCUGGGGAUGCAACACUGGCCCCAGUGCAUCACCCUGUGUUAAGCUGGUCAGCUGCUCCCACCAACGGAGAGCUACACGUCUGCAUGUCACCAACACUCUGGCUUGCAGAUUUGUCUGUGGGCAAAGUCCAAGGCUCAGGAGGCAUCGCUGCACUGGGUGCAUGUUCAGAAGAGCCACAAUGUGCACUGUGGUUGCUAUCAAUCCCAAGAGGCGAAGGCACAACCUCCAGGUGACCUUGGCCCCCAAACCCUGAGGGCAACCUGUCUUCCCAGAGAUAAGGAAAGAGUUCCUGGCCCGGCAUCCAAACACAUGCUUAGGAACUCUGUGGACUCUGAGGGCUGGAGGCUGCUCUUCCUCCUGUUGAGACACAGGCCCAGGUGCUCUAAGAGCUGCAAGAGCCAGGUCACACUAUUGCAACACUGCUGCUGGGCUAGCAAUGUGCCAAAUGAGAGGACACAGAACUCGAAGGUUCUGCCAUUGAAGGCCAGGGGUCCGCCCAAAGGAUCUCCCAGGACAGACACUGUCCCAAGAGUGGGACGGAGGGGCUGGGUUCUGAGACCUGUCAGGACUGAGGGGAGGGCUUGGGGGGUCCAUGGCCCCAGCCCCGCAUACUCAGCUGAUUGCAUUUAGCUCUACCACACUGGUUGGCCUCCAAACGGACCCUUAGGUCACCCUGCUGGAGCCUUCCCAACCUCCCCUGAGCACACCGGCAGGCAUCUUGGGCUUGCUGGGGCAUGUUAUUUGCAUCUGCCCCAAACAUAGCAGAUGACACCACAGGCAGCCUAAGAAGACAGGCCCAUAUUCCCCCUGCAGCUCUGACGGAGACAGCCAGAGGUGGCACCUCGCCAUCAGAGGGUGGCCAUGGCCCUGCCAGUUGCCACCGCUUGCUCCCUCAUAAGCUUAGCUAGGAGUGAGGACACCUGCUGCACCUCAGCAGCUAGAUUGGAGCCAACCUCCUCCAACUGUCUGGCCAGCUGGCGCUGAUACAAGGCUAGAAUAGCCCCAGUCUUAACCAGCUGUCUUAACCAGCUGUCCCUGAAUUGCCACAGCUCCAUGCAUGGACCAUGAGGGCAUCUUAGUUACUCUUUUCUGGUUUGUUUACCUUUCCCUUGGGAAUAACCCAUGGCUAAAGUAUGCCCAUUCACAUUCUCCAGCUAGUCAGACUUCACAAGGGAUUACGGAUGUGAGUGUCAGACAGCACAGCUAUGGUAGUGUAGCGAUCAGCUGGGAAGCACAUCUACCACUACCUCUGACAAGGUUAGAUUUCACAGGAGACAAUGCCUAUGCAAGCAGACCAGCAAGCUGAUGCUGCAAGCUGCCAUGCUAUCAACAGCCUGUGUAGGAAAGACAAUGCAGUGAUCCAGAGAGGGGCCCGUAGACCAGCUCUUCCACACACAAGGCAACUGUCUGUCUUUGAUGGUGUCAGUGAUCAAACCAAACAGCCAAUCAAAGGUCAUGGUCAGUAUUCUAGGUGACCAAUCAACAGAGCAGACUGUCUAUUCCAUCCCCCGCCUUCAAAGUCUCAAAAGUCAACUUGACAAGCGGGACUGCUGCUGCUGCACUGAGGAGUCGCAGGAUGGAUAGACAUGUUGCUGAGGUUGGCUGUCUGGAAUGUAGUUUCAGGACGUUUUAGAAGUUUGCACCAUGCAAAAAUAAAAAGAAUCACAGGGCAGCCCGGUGCGGUGUUGGUGCUGGGAGCUGAGGCGAGAGCAGCCGGUGCUGGUGGACGGUGCAAACCUCCAAAACUUCCCAAAACUGCAUUUCAAAUGGCGGACCUCAGCAACAUGUUUAUCCAUCCUGCAGUGAGCUGUGGCCAGCAUGCGGCAGUGCAGCUCCUCAGUGUAGCAGCAGUCCCGGGAAAAGAGUUCUGACAAGGAAGAAAGAAAAGAACAAAAUGGGAUCCCUGAGCUGCCAGAUGGUUGCCUUGCCUCUAAAACAAACAGGAGGAGACGGUUAAGAGGAGAGCAAGUGAGAGAGAGUCGAUAUACAAGAUAUUGAAUGACUCUAAAGGACCCCCUUCAUUGAACACUGUGGCAACUGCAUCAGCUGCUGUCCACCAGUUUUAGCUCCUCUGGCAAAAGGCCUGAAUGGCCUUUUAAGCACAGCGUGGAAGUGGAAGAAGCCACCAGUGAGAUGCAAGAAGGGGGGACUUGAAUUUAGAAGUCUAAAAUAAAUCUCUUUUUGCAUGGAUUUGUUGACCUUUGCUGGAAACUAAUUCUUUCUUUGUAGAUAAUUUCUUUUGAUAUGUUUAUGUUUGGAUAUCUUUUAAGUGUGUUAGAUGUUUAAUGUUGUUGUUGGUCAAGUUUCCCCUUGUGUCUGUGUAGGGCUAGUCCAUGUGUGUAUAUAACCUCAUUGUGUGACAUUUGGAAGAUUAGGUCUGUUUGGUUGUGUUGUGUUAAGUUUAGUUUCUUUAUUGCUUAGUUGACCUUAGUUUGGGCCCUAAUUUUUUGAACUACUUUUUCUAGUUUCUUAUGUUAUGUUAGAUUGUAUUUACUUUGUCAUUUGAUAUCAAAUUUUUCAACUUUA